Molecule: long non-coding RNA, 366 nt
Filed under: Chloebia gouldiae (Gouldian finch)
Lineage: Eukaryota; Metazoa; Chordata; Aves; Passeriformes; Passeridae
Description: Erythrura gouldiae (Gouldian finch) lncRNA (ENSEGOG00005008376.1)
Source: RNAcentral
CUUGAACAAAACUCUCUUUAUGAGGACUCCAAGCAUCCAAAAGCUUUGCAGAACUGCUGGGAUCCUGCAGCACAUGCUGGCCUUUAAUUACAUCCCCCAGACAGGAGAAUUUAUUAGCAGAAUAUCCUCACAGAGAGACCUCCCUGUGAGGGGUUCCAUGAGCCAUGGGGAUGGAAACCACGUCCUGAUGGAGAUGGAGUUCCCUGCUCCAUUUGCCUCUUGCUUGGAUGCUUUCCUGGGCUUCCACAGGUGGGGAAAUGCAGGGCAGCCCUCCCGGCUUCCCGGGAAAGCGGCGACGGACAUUGAUUUAUGAUCAAAAGGGAAAAGCAAAGCAGAAUAAAAGGAAUACUUAAGGCUUAAAAAACA